RNAcentral lists this ribosomal RNA (498 nucleotides) under uncultured Glomeromycotina. Its description in RNAcentral is "partial small subunit ribosomal RNA". It matches the Rfam family "Eukaryotic small subunit ribosomal RNA", at positions 591 to 1092 of the family's 1831-position model. Lineage: Eukaryota; Fungi; Glomeromycota. The record is from RNAcentral.
CCAAUAGCGUAUAUUAAAGUUGUUGCAGUUAAAAAGCUCGUAGUUGAACUUCAGGCCUGGCUGGACGGUCCGCCUUCCGGGCGAGUACUGUCUGUGGUCGGGUCCUACCUUCUGGCGAAGCGUCAUGGCCUUAACCGGCCGUGGCGGGGAACCAGGACUUUUACUGUGAAAAAAUUAGAGUGUUCAAAGCAGGCAAUUCGCUUGGAUACAUUAGCAUGGAAUAAUGGAAUAGGACAAUGGUUCUAUUUGUUGGUUUCUAGGACUGUUGUAAUGAUUAAUAGGGAUAGUUGGGGGCAUUAGUAUUCAAUUGUCAGAGGUGAAAUUCUUGGAUUUAUUGAAGACUAACUACUGCGAAAGCAUUUGCCAAGGAUGUUUUCAUUAAUCAAGAACGAAAGUUAGGGGAUCGAAGACGAUCAGAUACCGUCGUAGUCUUAACCAUAAACUAUGCCGACUAGGAAUCGGGCGAUGUUGACAAAAUGACGCGCUCAGCGCCUCAUG